GACGAACGCUGGCGGCGUGCUUAACUCAUGCAAGUCGAACGGAAAGGCCCUGCUUUUGUGGGGUGCUCGAGUGGCGAACGGGUGAGUAACACGUGAGUAACCUGCCCUUGACUUUGGGAUAACUUCAGGAAACUGGGGCUAAUACCGGAUAGGAGCUCCUGCUGCAUGGUGGGGGUUGGAAAGUUUCGGCGGUUGGGGAUGGACUCGCGGCUUAUCAGCUUGUUGGUGGGGUAGUGGCUUACCAAGGCUUUGACGGGUAGCCGGCCUGAGAGGGUGACCGGCCACAUUGGGACUGAGAUACGGCCCAGACUCCUACGGGAGGCAGCAGUGGGGAAUAUUGCACAAUGGGCGGAAGCCUGAUGCAGCAACGCCGCGUGCGGGAUGACGGCCUUCGGGUUGUAAACCGCUUUCGCCUGUGACGAAGCGUGAGUGACGGUAAUGGGUAAAGAAGCACCGGCUAACUACGUGCCAGCAGCCGCGGUGAUACGUAGGGUGCGAGCGUUGUCCGGAUUUAUUGGGCGUAAAGGGCUCGUAGGUGGUUGAUCGCGUCGGAAGUGUAAUCUUGGGGCUUAACCCUGAGCGUGCUUUCGAUACGGGUUGACUUGAGGAAGGUAGGGGAGAAUGGAAUUCCUGGUGGAGCGGUGGAAUGCGCAGAUAUCAGGAGGAACACCAGUGGCGAAGGCGGUUCUCUGGGCCUUUCCUGACGCUGAGGAGCGAAAGCGUGGGGAGCGAACAGGCUUAGAUACCCUGGUAGUCCACGCUGUAAACGGUGGGUACUAGGUGUGGGGUCCAUUCCACGGGUUCCGUGCCGUAGCUAACGCUUUAAGUACCCCGCCUGGGGAGUACGGCCGCAAGGCUAAAACUCAAAGGAAUUGACGGGGCCCCGCACAAGCGGCGGAGCAUGCGGAUUAAUUCGAUGCAACGCGUAGAACCUUACCUGGGUUUGACAUGGAUCGGGAGCGCUCAGAGAUGGGUGUGCCUCUUUUGGGGUCGGUUCACAGGUGGUGCAUGGCUGUCGUCAGCUCGUGUCGUGAGAUGUUGGGUUAAGUCCCGCAACGAGCGCAACCCUUGUUCACUGUUGCCAGCACGUUAUGGUGGGGACUCAGUGGAGACCGCCGGGGUCAACUCGGAGGAAGGUGGGGAUGACGUCAAGUCAUCAUGCCCCUUAUGUCCAGGGCUUCACGCAUGCUACAAUGGCUGGUACAGAGAGUGGCGAGCCUGUGAGGGUGAGCGAAUCUCGGAAAGCCGGUCUCAGCUCGGAUUGGGGUCUGCAACUCGACCUCAUGAAGUCGGAGUCGCUAGUAAUCGCAGAUCAGCAACGCUGCGGUGAAUACGUUCCCGGG
RNAcentral lists this ribosomal RNA (1343 nucleotides) under uncultured bacterium. RNAcentral describes it as "16S ribosomal RNA". It matches the Rfam family "Bacterial small subunit ribosomal RNA", at positions 28 to 1378 of the family's 1533-position model. The record is from RNAcentral.